GGCUCAGAACGAACGCUGGCGGCGUGGAUAAGACAUGCAAGUCGAGCGCUGAUUUGAGGGUAGCAAUAUUUUCAAAUCGGAGCGGCGCAAGGGUGCGUAACGCGUGGGAAUCUGCCUUGAAGUGUGGGAUAACUCGUCGAAAGACGAGCUAAUACCGCAUGUGAUUGUAAAAUCAAAGUUGGGGAUUGUAAGACCUGACGCUUCAAGAUGAGCCCGCGCCCUAUCAGCUAGUUGGUGAGGUAAUGGCUCACCAAGGCUUAGACGGGUAGCUGGUCUGAGAGGACGACCAGCCACACUGGAACUGAGACACGGUCCAGACACCUACGGGUGGCAGCAGUCGAGAAUUUUUCUCAAUGGGCGAAAGCCUGAAGGAGCGACGCCGCGUGGGGGAUGAAUGGCUUCGGCCCGUAAACCCCUGUCAUUUGUGAACAAAUUGAUUCACUUAAUACGUGAAGCAUUGAUUGUAGCGAAAGAGGAAGGGACGGCUAACUCUGUGCCAGCAGCCGCGGUAAUACAGAGGUCCCAAGCGUUGUUCGGAUUCACUGGGCGUAAAGGGUGCGUAGGCGGUCAAGUAAGUCUGACGUGAAAUCUCCGGGCCUAACCCGGAAACUGCGUUGGAUACUAUUUGGCUAGAGGAAUGGAGGGGAGACUGGAAUACUUGGUGUAGCAGUGAAAUGCGUAGAUAUCAAGUGGAACACCAGUGGCGAAGGCGAGUCUCUGGACAUUUCCUGACGCUGAGGCACGAAAGCUAGGGGAGCAAACGGGAUUAGAUACCCCGGUAGUCCUAGCCCUAAACGGUGCACGUUUGCUAUAAGUGGAUUCGACCCCACUUGUGGCGUAGUUAACACGAUAAACGUGCCGCCUGGGAAG
This 870-nucleotide ribosomal RNA is filed under the name uncultured bacterium. RNAcentral's name for it is "bacterial SSU rRNA". It matches the Rfam family "Bacterial small subunit ribosomal RNA", at positions 21 to 880 of the family's 1533-position model. The record is from RNAcentral.